RNAcentral lists this ribosomal RNA (459 nucleotides) under uncultured bacterium. Its description in RNAcentral is "partial 16S ribosomal RNA". It matches the Rfam family "Bacterial small subunit ribosomal RNA", at positions 338 to 795 of the family's 1533-position model. The record is from RNAcentral.
CCUACGGGAGGCAGCAGUGAGGAAUAUUGGUCAAUGGGCGCGAGCCUGAACCAGCCAAGUCGCGUGAGGGAAGACGGUCCUAUGGAUUGUAAACCUCUUUUGUCGGGGAGCAAAAGACGCCACGCGUGGCGUUCCGAGAGUACCCGAAGAAAAAGCAUCGGCUAACUCCGUGCCAGCAGCCGCGGUAAUACGGAGGAUGCGAGCGUUAUCCGGAUUUAAUGGGUUUAAAGGGUGCGCAGGCGGAGGAUCAAGUCAGCGGUAAAAUUGAGAGGCUCAACCUCGUCGAGCCGUUGAAACUGGUUUUGGUGGGUGAGUGCAGAGUAGGCGGAAUGCGUGGUGUAGCGGUGAAAUGCAUAGAUAACACGCAGAACUCCGAUUGCGAAGGCAGCAUACCGGCGCUCAACUGACGCUCAUGCACGAAAGUGUGGGUAUCGAACAGGAUUAGAUACCCGGGUAGUC